RNAcentral lists this small nuclear RNA (109 nucleotides) under Salvator merianae (Argentine black and white tegu). The record is from RNAcentral. Lineage: Eukaryota; Metazoa; Chordata; Lepidosauria; Squamata; Teiidae.
GUGUUCACUUCAGCAGCAUAAAGGUACUAAAAAUGGAAUGUUACAGAGAAGAUUAGCAUAGACCCUGCACAAAGAUGACAUGAAAAUUCAUGAAGCGUUCCAAUUUUUU